UGCAUAUCAAAUAAGCGGAGGAAAAGAAACUAACAAGGAUUCCCCUAGUAACGGCGAGUGAACCGGGAAGAGCUCAAAUUUGAAAUCUGGCGUCCUCAGGGCGUCCGAGUUGUAAUCUAUAGAGGCGUUUUCCGUGCCGGACCGUGUCCAAGUUCCUUGGAACAGGAUAUCAAAGAGGGUGACAAUCCCGUACUUGACACGACGACCGGUGCUCUGUGAUACGUCUUCUACGAGUCGAGUUGUUUGGGAAUGCAGCUCAAAAUGGGUGGUGAGUUCCAUCUAAAGCUAAAUAUUGGCGAGAGACCGAUAGCGAACAAGUACCGUGAGGGAAAGAUGAAAAGCACUUUGGAAAGAGAGUUAAACAGUACGUGAAAUUGUUGAAAGGGAAACGAUUGAAGUCAGUCGUGACCGAGAGGCUCAGCCGGUUCUGCCGGUGUAUUCCCCUCGGUCGGGUCAACAUCAGUUUUGUCCGGUGGAUAAGGGCGGUAGGAAGGUGGCACCCUCGGGUGUGUUAUAGCCUGCCGUCGCAUACAUCGGGUGAGACUGAGGAACGCAGCUCGCCUUUAUGGCCGGGGUUCGCCCACGUCCGAGCUUAGGA
Molecule: ribosomal RNA, 598 nt
Filed under: Papiliotrema laurentii
Lineage: Eukaryota; Fungi; Basidiomycota; Tremellomycetes; Tremellales; Rhynchogastremaceae
Description: eukaryotic LSU rRNA
Rfam family: Eukaryotic large subunit ribosomal RNA
Source: RNAcentral